Small nucleolar RNA from Tachyglossus aculeatus (Australian echidna), 139 nucleotides. The record is from RefSeq and is a predicted model, not a curated record. Lineage: Eukaryota; Metazoa; Chordata; Mammalia; Monotremata; Tachyglossidae.
CCCCUCUCAGGGUCUCAUCUGCAGAGUUUCCAAUACUCUACCAGUCUCGACUAUGGGAGGGAGAGUCAAGCAGAAGCAUACGCAUUUCCACUCCAAGCUUGGGCAGUGGCUAGUGAAUGGAAGGCAAUCUGCUACAAGU